UCCCUGGUAGUAUAUCGGUUUAGUACACGCGCCUGUCACUAUGUUCGCGCGAAAGCUGGGUUCGACUCCCAGCCAGGGAG
Molecule: non-coding RNA, 80 nt
Organism: Lentinula aff. lateritia
Lineage: Eukaryota; Fungi; Basidiomycota; Agaricomycetes; Agaricales; Omphalotaceae
Source: the annotation of a GenBank genome assembly